UUCAGCCUGAUAACAGAUAUUUACUUUAUAAGAACGUUUGAAAGUUAAAUAACUCUAUAAAUUCAAAUAAUUAAAUAUGAUAGAUCCAGAAUAUUUAAUUUCCCCUGAUCCCUGCCUAGAUGAGUUUAUUCUACCAAACACAACUCAGUUUAUGCAAGCAAUAGGUCCCUGGAGUUAUGUUCUCUAUACAACUGGAGCUGUGAAUGUAGUAGUUCUUAGUAUCCAGUAUAUAUUCCUAGCAAGACAAUUCUUUAAUACUAUAGAAUCAAACAGACUGGUAUCAACUCUAUGGGUAUCCUCAAUAUAUCUUGUAAUAUCUGUUUUCAACAUGGUUGGAAUAGUUCUCCCCCAAGCGAAUGAUUUUCUAUGGUUUGCAUACAAGAUUUUUGUUGGUAUAUCUAUGGGUCAUUUUGUUGAUUUAACCUUGACCUGGUACGGAGGAGAAACAGCAAUGCUGGAACAUGUUGGAGAGGAGACAAGCUUAAACUUCAGGAAACCACCCUGUUGUUGUUGUUUAAUUCUUCCAACCAACGCAAGAUUAACAAAAAACAAAAUAAGGUUUCUACGUGGGUCCGUUUAUCAGAUUCCAUACACAGAAUCUUUAAGUCUCCUUAUACUGGUUAGCUUAGAGAUGGCUGGUUAUGUUACUGAAGGAUCUUUAACCCUAGCUUCUCCUGAUAUUUAUAUAACAGUUCUAAUCUCAUUAUCAUCCUUCUGUGGAAUCUGGGGCCUCUUUAUGUUUUUUAAUAUAACUCAACAGUUUAAUCUACUAAGUAAUUUCAAUUAUGCGAAGAAGUCUGGGUUGAUGAAGAUUACUAUUAUCAUCAUAAAUUUCCAGAGUAUGAUUAUUGAUGUUUGUAACCGGUUUGGACUAAUAACGUGUAUUCCUGGUGCCUUAUCUCCUUCAGGAGUAGCAAAUCUUAUUAAGGCACUAAAACCGGGACCGCUUUAAGAGAAGUCCGCUCUCUUCUGAGGGCAGUUGGCAACUGGAAAUAUUCCAUAUAAAAGCUGUAUGUGUGCUUAUAGAAUCCUUUCUGUUGGGAACGAUGGCGUUUUUUGUUUACAAAGAUGAAGGAACGUAUAUGUAAAAUAGACAAAA
RNAcentral lists this unclassified non-coding RNA (1099 nucleotides) under Eurytemora carolleeae. RNAcentral describes it as "organic solute transporter subunit alpha". Lineage: Eukaryota; Metazoa; Arthropoda; Copepoda; Calanoida; Temoridae. The record is from RNAcentral.